AAGAAAUAACWAUACGGGGCUUAAUGUCUUGUAAUUGGAAUGAUGGGAAUUUAAACCUCUUCCAGAGUAUCAAUUGGAGGGCAAGUCUGGUGCCAGCAGCCGCGGUAAUUCCAGCUCCAAUAGCGUAUAUUAAAAUUGUUGCAGUUAAAAAGCUCGUAGUUGAAUUUCUGCUGCAUUUCAUUUCUCUUUCUGAGUUUGUUUUUGCGGCUUAUUUCGGUUUGAUUUUUUCUUUCCGGAUGAUUACUUUGAGAAAAUUAGAGUGCUCAAAGCAGGCUUUUGCCUUGAAUAGUUUAGCAUGGAAUAAUAAAGUAGGACUUUGGUUCUAUUUUGUUGGUUUUAGGUACCAAAGUAAUGGUUAAUAGGAACAGUUGGGGGCAUUCGUAUUUAACUGUCAGAGG
RNAcentral lists this ribosomal RNA (398 nucleotides) under Theileria sp. RNAcentral's name for it is "SSU rRNA". It matches the Rfam family "Eukaryotic small subunit ribosomal RNA", at positions 474 to 922 of the family's 1831-position model. Lineage: Eukaryota; Apicomplexa; Aconoidasida; Piroplasmida; Theileriidae. The record is from RNAcentral.